AUGGGCAAGCUCCUGCUCCUGGUUCGAGAGGGGGCGCGGGAAAUCGGGGCGCCGUGGUGCUCUGUGGCUGGACGUGGGAGGAGGCCAGAGGUCCUGCAGGAGAUCCUCUCCAGCGACAAGGUGGGGCUCGGUGAGGAGCACGGCAUGGAGGGGUCCCUCUUCUGUUGGGCUCGGAGAGCAGGACGAAGCAGAGCAGGAGGGGGUUCGAGUGGAGCUCGGGGAUGA
Molecule: ribosomal RNA, 225 nt
Filed under: Triticum aestivum (bread wheat)
Lineage: Eukaryota; Viridiplantae; Streptophyta; Magnoliopsida; Poales; Poaceae
Description: partial small subunit ribosomal RNA
Source: RNAcentral